UGGCUCAGGAUGAACGCUGGCGGCGUGCUUAACACAUGCAAGUCGAACGGGGUAGCAAUACCCUAGUGGCGGACGGGUGAGUAACGCGUGAGGAUCUGGCCUUAGGAGGGGGAUAACCGUUGGAAACGACAGCUAAUACCCCAUAUGCCGAGAGGUGAAAUGAGAUUUGCCUAAGGAUGAGCUCGCGUCCGAUUAGCUAGUUGGUGGGGUAACGGCCUACCAAGGCGACGAUCGGUAGCUGGUCUGAGAGGAUGAUCAGCCACACUGGGACUGAGACACGGCCCAGACUCCUACGGGAGGCAGCAGUGGGGAAUUUUCCGCAAUGGGCGAAAGCCUGACGGAGCAACGCCGCGUGAGGGAGGAAUGCCUGUGGGGUUGUAAACCUCUUUUCUCUGUGAAGAUAAUGACGGGUAGCAGAGGGAAUCAGCAUCGGGCUAACUCCGUGCCAGCCGCCGCCGUAAC
Molecule: ribosomal RNA, 462 nt
Filed under: uncultured Pseudanabaenaceae cyanobacterium
Lineage: Bacteria; Bacillati; Cyanobacteriota; Cyanophyceae; Pseudanabaenales; Pseudanabaenaceae
Description: bacterial SSU rRNA
Rfam family: Bacterial small subunit ribosomal RNA
Source: RNAcentral